AAAAAAAAUAAGACAACUAAAAAUAUUCAACUUUCUGUUUUUCAGACUUUCCUUUUCCAGAAGAGUCGGGGCAUGGGACCCAGGCUGGGCCAACACAGGGGCCAGUAUCAGACUAAGUGGAACUCUCAGGAAUGUCCCUAUCUAAGGUGACAUGUCCCAAGGAGAGGAUGUGCACCACAUGGAAAAAGUCAACUGGAAGAGUUUACCUUUGAAG
Molecule: long non-coding RNA, 214 nt
Filed under: Rattus norvegicus (Norway rat)
Lineage: Eukaryota; Metazoa; Chordata; Mammalia; Rodentia; Muridae
Description: long non-coding RNA NONRATT031638
Source: RNAcentral